This 669-nucleotide ribosomal RNA is filed under the name Escherichia coli. RNAcentral describes it as "partial 23S ribosomal RNA". It matches the Rfam family "Bacterial large subunit ribosomal RNA", at positions 1237 to 1890 of the family's 2925-position model. Lineage: Bacteria; Pseudomonadati; Pseudomonadota; Gammaproteobacteria; Enterobacterales; Enterobacteriaceae. The record is from RNAcentral.
CGUUCUGUAAGCCUGCGAAGGUGUGCUGUGAGGCAUGCUGGAGGUAUCAGAAGUGCGAAUGCUGACAUAAGUAACGAUAAAGCGGGUGAAAAGCCCGCUCGCCGGAAGACCAAGGGUUCCUGUCCAACGUUAAUCGGGGCAGGGUGAGUCGACCCCUAAGGCGAGGCCGAAAGGCGUAGUCGAUGGGAAACAGGUUAAUAUUCCUGUACUUGGUGUUACUGCGAAGGGGGGACGGAGAAGGCUAUGUUGGCCGGGCGACGGUUGUCCCGGUUUAAGCGUGUAGGCUGGUUUUCCAGGCAAAUCCGGAAAAUCAAGGCUGAGGCGUGAUGACGAGGCACUACGGUGCUGAAGCAACAAAUGCCCUGCUUCCAGGAAAAGCCUCUAAGCAUCAGGUAACAUCAAAUCGUACCCCAAACCGACACAGGUGGUCAGGUAGAGAAUACCAAGGCGCUUGAGAGAACUCGGGUGAAGGAACUAGGCAAAAUGGUGCCGUAACUUCGGGAGAAGGCACGCUGAUAUGUAGGUGAAGUCCCUCGCGGAUGGAGCUGAAAUCAGUCGAAGAUACCAGCUGGCUGCAACUGUUUAUUAAAAACACAGCACUGUGCAAACACGAAAGUGGACGUAUACGGUGUGACGCCUGCCCGGUGCCGGAAGGUUAAUUGAUGGGGU